This 1399-nucleotide ribosomal RNA is filed under the name Oecleus sp. 1 BWB-2023b. Its description in RNAcentral is "SSU rRNA". It matches the Rfam family "Eukaryotic small subunit ribosomal RNA", at positions 360 to 1681 of the family's 1831-position model. The record is from RNAcentral. Lineage: Eukaryota; Metazoa; Arthropoda; Insecta; Hemiptera; Cixiidae.
UACGGGGAAUCAGGGUGUCGAUUCCGGAGAGGGAGCCUGAGAAACGGCUACCACAUCCAAGGAAGGCAGCAGGCGCGCAAAUUACCCACUCCCGGCACGGGGAGGUAGUGACGAAAAAUAACGAUGCGGGACUCAUCCGAGGCCCCGUAAUCGGAAUGAGUAUACUCUAAAUCCUUAUACGAGUAUCCAUUGGAGGGCAAGUCUGGUGCCAGCAGCCGCGGUAAUUCCAGCUCCAAUAGCGUAUAUUAAAGUUGUUGCGGUUAAAAAGCUCGUAGUUGGAUCUGUGUCCCGCACCGCCGGUUCACCGCCUGUCGGUGUCAAACUGGCGUGUUUGCGGGACGUCCUGUCGGUGGUGGUUCGGGGCUUCGUCGACCCUAAGGGUGUCCCUGCGGCUCCCUGAAGGCUGGCGUAUGCUUCCGGCCGCCUUUUCAAUCCCGUCGCGGUGCUCUUCACCGAGUGUCGAGGCGGGCCGGCACGUUUACUUUGAACAAAUUAGAGUGCUUUAAGCAGGCUCAUUCCCGCCUGUAUACUGUGUGCAUGGAAUAAUGGAAUAGGACCUCGGUUCUAUUUUGUUGGUUUUCGGAAUCUGAGGUAAUGAUCAAUGGGGACAGGCGGGGGCAUUCGUAUUGCGACGUUAGAGGUGAAAUUCUUGGAUCGUCGCAAGACGGACCGAAGCGAAAGCAUUUGCCAAGUAUGUUCUCGUCGAUCAAGAACGAAAGUUAGAGGUUCGAAGGCGAUCAGAUACCGCCCUAGUUCUAACCAUAAACUAUGCCUGCCAGCGAUCCGCCGGCGUUCCUCCGAUGACCCGGCGGGCAGCUUCCGGGAAACCAAAGCCUUUGGGUUCCGGGGGAAGUAUGGUUGCAAAGCUGAAACUUAAAGGAAUUGACGGAAGGGCACCACCAGGAGUGGAGCCUGCGGCUUAAUUUGACUCAACACGGGAAAACUCACCAGGCCCGGACACCGGAAGGAUUGACAGAUUGAGAGCUCUUUCUUGAUUCGGUGGGUGGUGGUGCAUGGCCGUUCUUAGUUGGUGGAGCGAUUUGUCUGGUUAAUUCCGAUAACGAACGAGACUCUAGCCUACUAAAUAGACGUUUCCGGUAUCCACAAUCGUGCUACCGGCGACUAAAUUUCUUCUUAGAGGGACAGGCGGCUGUAGCCGCACGAGACUGAGCAAUAACAGGUCUGUGAUGCCCUUAGAUGUCCUGGGCCGCACGCGCGCUACACUGAAGGAGUCAGCGUGUCUUCCCUGUCCGAAAGGACCGGGUAACCCGCUGAACCUCCUUCGUGCUUGGGAUUGGGGCUUGCAAUUGUUCCCCAUGAACGAGGAAUUCCCAGUAAGCGCGAGUCAUAAGCUCGCGUUGAUUACGUCCCUGCCCUUUGUACACACCGCCCUUCGUUU